UGAGACUAAGAAGGUUCCAUUAAAAUAAAUGUUUAGUCUGCCAAUCAAAUCACUGGGUCUUCUCUUUAUGCAACCACAUAAAACCUCAAUGUGGUCAGCUUCCCUCUUGUCUCCCUCAAUGUUAUUCAGUAUUUCUUUAGGCAACAUCCUUUGACCACCAUCAACCGACACACACUUAAGAGCCCUUGAUGAUAAUGAUAAUGCUCUUGAUUUUCUCUUUGAUCUCUUUUUCUUUAAAUAAUUGUAGAUACAUAUACAUACAUACACCAAAU
RNAcentral lists this long non-coding RNA (272 nucleotides) under Carica papaya (papaya). Its description in RNAcentral is "long non-coding RNA (CPAP_LNC007392)". The record is from RNAcentral. Lineage: Eukaryota; Viridiplantae; Streptophyta; Magnoliopsida; Brassicales; Caricaceae.